AGAGUUUGAUUAUGGCUCAGGAUGAACGCUAGCUACAGGCUUAACACAUGCAAGUCGAGGGGCAGCAUUGGGAUAGCUUGCUAUUCAGAUGGCGACCGGCGCACGGGUGAGUAACGCGUAUCCAACCUUCCUGCCAGUAGGGAACAGCCCGGCGAAAGUCGGAUUAAUGCCCUAUGUUCUUCAAUGCGGACAUCUAAGUUGAAGGAAAGAUUCAUCGCUGGCAGAUGGGGAUGCGUCCGAUUAGCUUGCCGGCGGGGUAACGGCCCACCGGGGCGACGAUCGGUAGGGGUUCUGAGAGGAAGGUCCCCCACACUGGUACUGAGACACGGACCAGACUCCUACGGGAGGCAGCAGUGAGGAAUAUUGGUCAAUGGGCGUAAGCCUGAACCAGCCAAGUAGCGUGCAGGACGACGGCCCUACGGGUUGUAAACUGCUUUUAUGCGGGGAUAAAGUGCGGCACGUGUGCCGCUUUGCAGGUACCGCAUGAAUAAGGACCGGCUAAUUCCGUGCCAGCCGCCGC
Molecule: ribosomal RNA, 520 nt
Filed under: uncultured bacterium
Lineage: Bacteria
Description: bacterial SSU rRNA
Rfam family: Bacterial small subunit ribosomal RNA
Source: RNAcentral